This 329-nucleotide ribosomal RNA is filed under the name uncultured eukaryote. RNAcentral's name for it is "partial 18S ribosomal RNA". It matches the Rfam family "Eukaryotic small subunit ribosomal RNA", at positions 1470 to 1796 of the family's 1831-position model. The record is from RNAcentral.
CCCUUAGAUGUCCAGGGCCGCACGCGCGCUACACUGAGUGUCUGAGAUACGAGUCUGCCUGGUCCGGCAAGGUCUAGGUAAUCGCUAAAAGACACAUCAUGCUUGGGAUAGAUUAUUGCAAAUAUUAAUCUUGAACGAGGAAUUCCUAGUAAGCGCAAGUCAACAGCUUGCGUUGAUUACGUCCCUGCCCUUUGUACACACCGCCCGUCGCUACUACUGAUUGGAUGUUUAAGCGAGGUUCUCGAACUGCUAGCGACUUAGCUUCGGUGAGGUCGCAGUGUGGGAAGUGAACCUAGCUUUGGUGUCUAGAGGAAGUAAAAGUCGUAACA